CAAGGCUUGACAUACUGGAAGUAGAAAACCGAAAGGUGGACGAACUGUUAAGUCAGGAGCCAGUACAGGUGCUGCAUGGUUGUCGUCAGCUCGUGCCGUGAGGUGUUGGGUUAAGUCCCGUAACGAGCGCAACCCUCGUUGCUAGUUGAUUUCUCUAGCGAGACUGCCCCGCGAAACGGGGAGGAAGGUGGGGAUGACGUCAAAUCAGCACGGCCUUUAUGCCUUGGGCUACACACACGCUACAAUGGGUAGUACAGAUGGUAGCGAAACCGCGAGGCGGAGCAAAUCCCACAAAACUACCCCCAGUUCAGAUUGCAGGCUGAAACCCGCCUGCAUGAAGUCGGAGUUGCUAGUAAACGCAGGUCAGCAGACUGCGUUGAAUACGUUCU
This 389-nucleotide ribosomal RNA is filed under the name uncultured bacterium. Its description in RNAcentral is "bacterial SSU rRNA". It matches the Rfam family "Bacterial small subunit ribosomal RNA", at positions 975 to 1374 of the family's 1533-position model. The record is from RNAcentral.